This 500-nucleotide ribosomal RNA is filed under the name uncultured bacterium. RNAcentral describes it as "partial 16S ribosomal RNA". It matches the Rfam family "Bacterial small subunit ribosomal RNA", at positions 30 to 523 of the family's 1533-position model. The record is from RNAcentral.
AUUGAACGCUGGUGGAAUGCUUUACACAUGCAAAUCGAACGGCAGCACGGACUUCGGUCUGGUGGCGAGUGGCGAACGGGUGCGUAAUGUAUCGGAACGUGCCUUGGCGUGGGGGAUAACGUAGUGAAAAUUACGCUAAUACCGCAUACGCUCUAUGGAGGAAAGCGGGGGAUCGCAAGACCUCGCGCGAUUGGAGCGGCAGAUUUUAGAGUAGGUAGUUGGUGGGGUAAAGGCCCACCAAGCCAACGAUCUGUAGCUGGUCUGAGAGGACGACAAGCCACACUGGAACUUAGACACGGUCCAGACUCCUACUGGAGGCAGCAGUGGGGAAUUUUGGACAAUGGGCGAAAGCCUGAUCCAGCCAUUCCGCGUGCAGUAUGAAGGCCCUCGGGUUGUAAACUGCUUUUGUACAGAACGAAAAGGUUUCUACUAAUACUAGGAGCUCAUGACGGUACUGUAAGAAUAAGCACCGGCUAACUACGUGCCAGCCGCCGCAGUAA